CCUUAAGUUAAACUUACAUUAUUUCAUUCAUGUAUUCAUCAUUCACUCAACAAACAGUGAUUAUUUCUCUGGCAUGAGUCUUACACUGUGGCAAAUGCUCAUGCUCAAAGAUGAGUAAGGUUUAUUUCUUUGUAAUCCAAACAGUGUGAGUCAGUACUGGGUGUGGGUGGGUCUACAUUCAUUCUCAUUUUCCUCCUUCCUGCAAUGAAACAUGCAGCAGCAUCCCACAGACAGGUAGUCACUCAGGUUUCCUCAACUGUGAAAAUUGCGUAUCUAUGUCGCCUCACAGUGCUUCUGAAAGGACACUCCUCAGUGGUGUCUGUGAUGUUGAAGGAUGCCUGAUGUUAUGCAACGCUCACUGGGAAGAGCACUCUGCAGAGGCGCAGUUGAAGGCGGUCCUUGUGGCUUUCCCAGUUAGAAGCAUUCGACGCUGAUGUUUCCACAAGGCAACUAGAGAGGACCGGGAGCUGAAACGCAGGAGAUGACAGAUGGAGGUGGACCCAGCUGUACACUGCACCUGUUGGAGGGUGCACUCUGUCUCUCGGAAGGCUGCUGACAGAGUAUCAAAUGAACAAAAAAAAGCACAUUCAAGUUCUUGCCUCUUAAAUUCUUAAUUAUUAGACUUUUAUAGGAAAUAUUUUGAAAUAUCGGGAAAAGUAUGAAAAAAUGUAA
Non-coding RNA from Heterocephalus glaber (naked mole-rat), 672 nucleotides. The record is from RefSeq and is a predicted model, not a curated record. Lineage: Eukaryota; Metazoa; Chordata; Mammalia; Rodentia; Bathyergidae.